This 627-nucleotide ribosomal RNA is filed under the name uncultured archaeon. RNAcentral's name for it is "bacterial SSU rRNA". It matches the Rfam family "Archaeal small subunit ribosomal RNA", at positions 146 to 774 of the family's 1478-position model. The record is from RNAcentral.
AUAAUACUCCAUAGUCCAUGGAAUCUGGAAUGAUCCAUGGAUGAAAGUUCCGGCGCUUAAGGAUUCGGUCUGCGGCCUAUCAGGUUGUAGUGGGUGUAACGUACCUACUAGCCGAUGACGGGUAUGGGCCUUGAGAGAGGGAGCCCAGAGUUGGAUUCUGAGACACGAAUCCAGGCCAUACGGGGCGCAGCAGUCGCGAAAACUUCACAAUGGGGGCAACCCCGAUGAGGGAAUUCCUAAUGCUAGCACAUUUGUGUUAGCUUUUCUUUAGCGUAGAUAACUAGAGGAAUAAGGGCUGGGAAAGACGGGUGCCAGCCGCCGCGGUAAUACCUGCAGCCCAAGUGGUGGUCGAGUUUAUUGAGUCUAAAACGUUCGUAGCCGGUUCGGUAAAUCUUUGGGUAAAUCGGAGGGCUUAACCUUCCGACUUCCGAGGAGACUGCCGAACUUGGGACCGGGAGAGGCUAGAGGUACUUCUGGGGUAGGGGUAAAAUCCUGUAAUCCUAGAAGGACCACCGCUGGCGAAGGCGUCUAGCUAGAACGGAUCCGACGGUGAGGGACGAAGCCCUGGGUCGCAAACGGGAUUAGAUACCCCGGUAGUGCAGGGUGUAAACGCUGCAGACUUGCUGU